RNAcentral lists this ribosomal RNA (580 nucleotides) under proteobacterium 2SC06. Its description in RNAcentral is "bacterial SSU rRNA". It matches the Rfam family "Bacterial small subunit ribosomal RNA", at positions 63 to 689 of the family's 1533-position model. Lineage: Bacteria; Pseudomonadati; Pseudomonadota. The record is from RNAcentral.
CGAGCGCACUCUUCGGAGUGAGCGGCGGACGGGUUAGUAACGCGUGGGAACAUACCCUUUUCUACGGAAUAGCCUCGGGAAACUGAGAGUAAUACCGUAUACGCCCUUCGGGGGAAAGAUUUAUCGGAGAAGGAUUGGCCCGCGUUUGAUUAGAUAGUUGGUGGGGUAAUGGCCUACCAAGUCUACGAUCAAUAGCUGGUUUGAGAGGAUGAUCAGCAACACUGGGACUGAGACACGGCCCAGACUCCUACGGGAGGCAGCAGUGGGGAAUCUUAGACAAUGGGCGCAAGCCUGAUCUAGCCAUGCCGCGUGAGUGACGAAGGCCUUAGGGUCGUAAAGCUCUUUCGCCAGAGAUGAUAAUGACAGUAUCUGGUAAAGAAACCCCGGCUAACUCCGUGCCAGCAGCCGCGGUAAUACGGAGGGGGUUAGCGUUGUUCGGAAUUACUGGGCGUAAAGCGUACGUAGGCGGAUUGGAAAGUAGGGGGUGAAAUCCCGGGGCUCAACCCCGGAACUGCCUCCUAAACUAUCAGUCUAGAGUUCGAGAGAGGUGAGUGGAAUUCCAAGUGUAGAGGUGAAAUUC